Molecule: long non-coding RNA, 1731 nt
Filed under: Marmota monax (woodchuck)
Lineage: Eukaryota; Metazoa; Chordata; Mammalia; Rodentia; Sciuridae
Source: RNAcentral
CUGAUUUCUUUUACUGUCUAAGAACUGAAAUAAUACUCAUAUCUUCAAAGAAGAAGGAAAAGUCAUUUUUUGUCUUUCACUGAAAUUUAAAAAUAGGAAUUGAGAUUUUUGUUGAACUUUCUUACAUAGAAAGAAGAAGGUGAUGUUCAGAAAGUAAUAUUGCAUUUUGAAAUUGAUGUACAUUAAGAAACAAUAAUGUACCCAAAUCAUAAUUAAUAGCAAUCUCCAGGUUUUGUAAGACUGAUAGAAGAAAUCCAGCAAGAAAGGACUGCUAAAAUAUGGAUGCUUAUUUUAACAGUAUUAUUUCUUCUUCACUGAGAAUUCUUAAUCUUUUUGAUGCUGAAAAUUCCCCCUAAGCAUUAACACAGAUGGAGUUUAUAUAAUGCUGUAGGAUCUCUUCAUUUAUAUAGAAUUUACCUUUCAAAUGUAUCAAAUAAACAGGGCCAGUUUUUGUUAAUUGGCCAUCUUAUUGACUAAACUCAAUGAAUUAAACAUUCAUUUCACUGUCACUUUAAAAAGAUUACCUAUGGUAUUCAUGAUCUCUGAGACUCAGUGAUCCUUACUGAAAUCCAAUGCUUGAAAACAAAAAUGUCUGUCUUUAAGGAGCACAGGAAUCUUAUACAAAGCUAAUUCAUUUUAGUUCAUUUUUACUCACUUAUUCAACAGACACUUUUAGAAUACUUACUGAGUUCUGAUGGAGACAACUAUGAACCAAUUAGACCUGUUAGUUCUUUUGUCCUAGGUUUUAUGGCUAGAGGUGGUAGGUGACUUUCUUGUUACAGUAAACUUAGGGCAAGGCUAGAAGUUUAUAUAAGGGUAUGGGGGCCAUGGGAUCCCUAACUCAUAAAGUGGUCAGUGUGGGAACAGAGAACCAUAGACAGAGCUUCCCAAAGAAAAUGAACAAAGCAACUGGAAGGGGUGAUGGACAGAGAUUGAUGCAAGCAGUGGGACCAACAAGAGGAAAUGGUUGGCCUGUGUGGAAGAAACACAGGGGACACCUGUCCCAGAGGCUAUGAUUCUGCCCAUCAGCAGGAACAGGAGCCUUCUAAAGAGGGGAUUCAAAGGCUACAUUCCAUGUGUUCUCGGUUGGAGUUGUAAUUUACGUAUUAAUUUGGGAGAUAGUCAUCUCUGAGAUCUUCUGGUGCCAUCCCCAAAGUCUGAAUUACUUUGUUUUUAGGGUGGGUGUGUGCUCAAGAACAGAUAAAUCUGUCUAAAAUGGGGAAGAAAGGUCUGGUUUUCCCCAAUAUUAGGGGGGAUAUGUUAGGGAGAAGCAGAGAUAGAGGAAGAGAAAGAAACAUAUCCAUUUCAAAAAUAAGUUGCAGUGGCAGAGCAUCAAGGGCUACAUUCAAAGCAUAAUGUGGACCACUGUUACAGGGGAUCAAGACCACAGGAAGGGAAGCAUUUUAGUGAUAAGGUUGGACUAUAACUAAAGCAAUUGUGUUGACAAACUAUGCAAACUUUAAGUGAUAUUCAUAAUCUAAAUUGAUAGGAGAUAAUAAUAUUUAAUGAUGUUUUGGUUUGGGGUUGGAAUGACCCCCAAAGACUCAUGUGUUUAAGGCAUGAAUGCAGCAACGUUCAGAAGUAGAACUUUGGAGGAGUCAUUGGAUCAUGAAGGUGCUGCUGACUUCAUCAGAGGAUCUAUCCAUUGGUGUAUUAAUAAUUGUAUGACAUUAGAGGGAAGUGAUGGAAACCAUAGGAGAUGGGGCCUAGUUGGAAGAAGUAGGUCUCUGG